RNAcentral lists this ribosomal RNA (402 nucleotides) under bacterium enrichment culture. Its description in RNAcentral is "bacterial SSU rRNA". It matches the Rfam family "Bacterial small subunit ribosomal RNA", at positions 355 to 773 of the family's 1533-position model. The record is from RNAcentral.
UAGGGAAUCUUCGGCAAUGGGCGAAAGCCUGACCGAGCGACGCCGCGUGAGGGAAGAAGGUCUUCGGAUUGUAAACCUCUGUCUAGGGGGACGAGGAAGGACGGUACCCCUGGAGGAAGCCCCGGCUAACUACGUGCCAGCAGCCGCGGUAAUACGUAGGGGGCGAGCGUUGUCCGGAAUUACUGGGCGUAAAGGGCGCGCAGGCGGCCAUGUAAGUCAGGUGUGAAAGGCCGAGGCUCAGCCGGGGAGUGGCAGUCGAAACUGUUGGGCUUGAGUGCAGGAGAGGAGGGUGGAAUUCCUGGUGUAGCGGUGAAAUGCGUAGAUAUCAGGAGGAACACCGGUGGCGAAGGCGACCUUCUGGCCUGUUACUGACGCUGAGGCGCGAAAGCCAGGGGAGCGAAC